AGGGCACCACCAGGAGUGGAGCCUGCGGCUUAAUUUGACUCAACACGGGGAAACUUACCCGGCCUGGACACUGGAAGGAUUGACAGAUUGAGAGCUCUUUCUUGAUUCAGUGGGUGGUGGUGCAUGGCCGUUCUUAGUUGGUGGAGCGAUUUGUCUGGUUAAUUCCGAUAACGAACGAGACUCUAGCCUAUUAAAUAGGCUCUCGGCUUUUAAACGCCGGGAGGACUUCUUAGAGGGACAGGUGGCGGUUCAGCCGCACGAAAGAGAGCAAUAACAGGUCUGUGAUGCCCUUUGUUGUCCGGGGCCGCACGCGCGCUACACUGAAGAGAUCAGCGUGCUUUACGUUCCUGCUCCGACCGGAGUGGGGAACCCAGUGAACCUUCUUCGUGAUUGGGAUAGAAGAUUGUAAUUAUUCUUCUUGAACGAGGAAUUCCCAGUAAAUGCGAGUCAUAAGCUCGCGUUGAUUACGUCCCUGCCCUUUGUACACACCGCCCGUCGCUACUACUGAUUGAACGAUUU
Molecule: ribosomal RNA, 519 nt
Filed under: uncultured eukaryote
Lineage: Eukaryota
Description: SSU rRNA
Rfam family: Eukaryotic small subunit ribosomal RNA
Source: RNAcentral